GUGGCGGACGGGUGAGUAACACGUAGGGGGACCUGCCCCGUGGUGGGGGGAGUAACACCGGGAAAACCGGUGCUAAGACCGCAUACGUCCUCGGGCAUAGCGGGCCCGAGGGGGAAAUGCGCGAGCAGCCACGGGAGGGCCUUGCGGCGGAUUAGGUAGUUGGUGGGGUAGAAGCCUACCAAGCCGACGAUCCGUAGCUGGUCUGAGAGGACGACCAGCCACACCGGGACUGAGACACGGCCCGG
RNAcentral lists this ribosomal RNA (245 nucleotides) under uncultured bacterium. Its description in RNAcentral is "partial 16S ribosomal RNA". It matches the Rfam family "Bacterial small subunit ribosomal RNA", at positions 95 to 334 of the family's 1533-position model. The record is from RNAcentral.